RNAcentral lists this ribosomal RNA (327 nucleotides) under uncultured eukaryote. RNAcentral's name for it is "partial 18S ribosomal RNA". It matches the Rfam family "Eukaryotic small subunit ribosomal RNA", at positions 1470 to 1796 of the family's 1831-position model. The record is from RNAcentral.
CCCUUAGAUGUUCUGGGCCGCACGCGCGCUACACUGACUGGUGCAACAAGUGUCUGACCUUGGCUCGAGAGGCCUGGGCAACCUUUGAACGCCAGUCGUGCUGGGGAUAGAUUCUUGCAAUUAUUAAUCUUCAACGAGGAAUUCCUAGUAAACGCAAGUCAUCAGCUUGCAUUGAUUACGUCCCUGCCCUUUGUACACACCGCCCGUCGCACCUACCGAUUGAAUGGUCCGGUGAAAUUCUCGGACGACGCCAGGGAAUGUUAAUUCGGCCCCUGAUGUUGAAAGUUAAUUAAACCUUACCAUUUAGAGGAAGGUGAAGUCGUAACA